Molecule: long non-coding RNA, 1151 nt
Organism: Magallana angulata
Lineage: Eukaryota; Metazoa; Mollusca; Bivalvia; Ostreida; Ostreidae
Exons: 5
Source: RefSeq, a predicted model, not a curated record
GAAAGUAGGAAUUUUAAGGAAUAAUAUGAGUGUACAUCAAUGUCCCCAGAACAAGAACGACUGGGACACCGCCUCCAAGAGGUUAUAGUGUGUGGACCCUAACAGUUACCACUGUCUUCUUACACAAGAUGGUGUAGGGACUGAGCAGUGUCUGGGCAGAGUCUGGAUCAAGGAAAGUACAUUUGAAUAUGAAAACAAAGUUUCGGAUGGGUUGGCCCAUAGUAACAUGCAUUCUUGGGCUGUAUCUCUGUCACGUGGUCUAUGUCCAAGCUUCAAUGCAAUGUGCACAUACACUUGAUGGAUGGAAUAGGGGCAGUGUAUCACUGCAAUGCCAGGAGCCGAAACAUUAUCAUUGUCUACCAGACGAAUUUGGUCACUUUAUUCAAAAGUGUUCCAAUAGAAUUUUGGUACCACCAGGUAUAUUUAAAAAUUUACCGUUAAACUUAAAAGUAAGUACAUCCCAUUUCGAAGUAAACCAAAAUAUGGCAUUAUUUGCAUUUUUCACGAAAAUCAGCUAAAAUUUUUUGUCAAAUGAGGCACGUAUACAAUCAGAUAAAAUAGAUAUGCAGUGGGUAUAAUUUUGAAAUAUUUGGCAUUAGCAAUGUUUUAUAGUUUAAAAUGUGAAUGAGUUUUCAUGUUUUAAAGGAAUGUGCCCCAGGUUCAACAGUGAAUCCGGACAAAUUAAUGUGUUUGAAUGCCAAUCCAAUCAAAACAGUUGCCCACCCAACCCUUUUUGGUCAUAUGAUGUACAGGUGUUGAUAUAUUAUGGAUGUUAUAUACGAAUAAAUCCAACAACAACAGAGAUAGAAAUAACAUCCAUUACAAAACUACCUUCCUCGCCGUUGAUCACACACAUGACGUCAAAAGAUUAUGACAUCUCCACUUUUUCUGACAAUAUCUUCAAGAAAAACCCAAACAGUGCUACCACUUUGGCUCUCGUGAUACCAAUAGUACUAGUUAUGUGUGUCACUAUUUUGAUCACCGGGAUUAUAUAUCAUGUACGAAAACGGAGACACAGAGGGGAAAAUGGUGAAUUAGAAAACCAAAGUGACAAUCAAACUAGGCAAUCCUUACGAGUAAAUGAAGAUAGGGAAAUGUCAUCUAGGCUGCUUGGUAGGUGUUUAAUUUAAACAUUUUUUAUCAGUUAAAAC